GGCGGCAGGCUUAACACAUGCAAGUCGAACGGGUGUAGCAAUACAUCAGUGGCAGACGGGUGAGUAACACGUGGGAACCUUCCUAGGGGUACGGAACAACUCAGGGAAACUUGAGCUAAUACCGUAUACGUCCGUGAGGAGAAAGAUUUAUCGCCCUUAGACGGGCCCGCGUCGGAUUAGGUAGUUGGUGGGGUAACGGCCUACCAAGCCUACGAUCCGUAGCUGAUCUUAGAGGAUGAUCAGCCACACUGGGACUGAGACACGGCCCAGACUCCUACGGGAGGCAGCAGUGGGGAAUCUUGGACAAUGGGCGCAAGCCUGAUCCAGCCAUGCCGCGUGAGUGAAGAAGGCCUUAGGGUUGUAAAGCUCUUUUACCAGGGACGAUAAUGACGGUACCUGGAGAAUAAGCCCCGGCAAACUUCGUGCCAGCAGCCGCGGUAAUACGAAGGGGGCUAGCGUUGUUCGGAAUUACUGGGCGUAAAGCGCACGUAGGCGGGUCGUUAAGUCAGGGGUGAAAUCCCGGAGCUCAACUCCGGAACUGCCUUUGAUACUGGCGAUCUAGAGAUCGAGAGAGGUGAGUGGAAUUCCGAGUGUAGAGGUGAAAUUCGUAGAUAUUCGGAAGAACACCAGUGGCGAAGGCGGCUCACUGGCUCGAUACUGACGCUGAGACGCGAAAGCGUAGGGAGCAAACAGGAUUAGAUACCCUGGUAGUCUACGCUGUAAACGAUGCGCACUAGGUACGAGAGGUUCUGACGCCGAUCGUGCCGAAGCAAAAGUGCUAAGUGCGCCGCCUGGGGAGUACGGCCGCAAGGCUAAAACUCAAAGGAAUUGACGGAAGGGCGAAUUC
Molecule: ribosomal RNA, 847 nt
Filed under: uncultured bacterium
Lineage: Bacteria
Description: bacterial SSU rRNA
Rfam family: Bacterial small subunit ribosomal RNA
Source: RNAcentral